Molecule: transfer RNA, 30 nt
Filed under: Thryomanes bewickii (Bewick's wren)
Lineage: Eukaryota; Metazoa; Chordata; Aves; Passeriformes; Certhiidae
Description: partial tRNA-Phe
Source: RNAcentral
GUCCUCGUAGCUUACGCAAAGCAUGCCACU